UGCUGCUGCCAGACUGAUCUUUCUCUCCUGUUGCUCCUCUCACACCUCACCCCUCUGUCAUUCCUUACACUGGCUUCCUGUACCCUACAGGUGUCAAUUUAAAAAACUAACCCUUACUUAUAAAGCCCAAACCAACUAAACCCCCUCUUACAUUUCUUCACUGAUUCAUAGGUCUUUCCCCUCUCGGUCUCUCCGCUCUACUGGUGACCUUCUACUGUCUGCUCCUCGCACCCUUACUGCAAAUUCACGCCUGCAAGACUUCUCAAGGGCUACCUUUGGAACAGCCUGCCUGCCCCUGUC
Molecule: non-coding RNA, 300 nt
Organism: Pelobates cultripes (western spadefoot toad)
Lineage: Eukaryota; Metazoa; Chordata; Amphibia; Anura; Pelobatidae
Source: the annotation of a GenBank genome assembly